UGCGUAGGCGGGAUAAUAAGUCAGUGGUGAAAUACUGCAGCUUAACUGUAGAACUGCCAUAGAUACUGUUAUUCUUGAGUAUAGUUGAGGUGGGCGGAAUGUGUCAUGUAGCGGUGAAAUGCUUAGAUAUGACACAGAACACCAAUUGCGUAGGCAGCUUGCUAAACUAUCACUGACGCUGAUGCACGAAAGCGUGGGGAGCGAACAGGAUUAGAUACCCUGGUAGCC
This 228-nucleotide ribosomal RNA is filed under the name uncultured bacterium. RNAcentral's name for it is "partial 16S ribosomal RNA". It matches the Rfam family "Bacterial small subunit ribosomal RNA", at positions 568 to 795 of the family's 1533-position model. The record is from RNAcentral.